This is a long non-coding RNA of Tarenaya hassleriana, 260 nucleotides long. RefSeq lists it as uncharacterized. The record is from RefSeq and is a predicted model, not a curated record. The transcript has 2 exons. Lineage: Eukaryota; Viridiplantae; Streptophyta; Magnoliopsida; Brassicales; Cleomaceae.
UCCCCACACAGACAUCACUCAACAGUUAGAGCCAGACCGAGGAAUUUUCACCAAACACACAAUGUCAUGAUCCCAACACUCUUCUCCUAGAGGCUUGUCGGAACCAAGAAACGCGGGAAAUAUCUACGACUUUUAAGAGAAGGGGGGGGGCAAAAGAAAUGGGAAAUAGAGUUACCGAUAGCCUGACGGUCGGUCUGAGCCUCCAACCAGUGUUGCUCAAAUUGAAUGUUGUAAAGGGCCUCUUCCAACUUGGAUAUCUG